RNAcentral lists this ribosomal RNA (112 nucleotides) under Candidatus Nealsoniibacteriota bacterium. The record is from RNAcentral. Lineage: Bacteria; Candidatus Nealsoniibacteriota.
UAUGGGAACUAUACUAGCGUUGUCCCACCCGAUCCCAUUUCGAACUCGGAAGUGAAAUGCGCUAAGGCCGAUGAUAGUGGGUUUUUCCUGCGAAAGUAGGUAGUUCCCGUGA